This is a long non-coding RNA of Saccostrea cuccullata (small rock oyster), 355 nucleotides long. RefSeq lists it as uncharacterized. The record is from RefSeq and is a predicted model, not a curated record. The transcript has 2 exons. NCBI's taxonomy places the organism in Eukaryota, Metazoa, Mollusca, Bivalvia, Ostreida, Ostreidae.
UGGUUAUGAAAUAUAAGCUAGUAUACUAAUAUAUUUUACAAUUUAACUAAUUGUAGUUCGUCGUAAGGUUCAAUCAACCAGUGGUGCAGGAAAUUCAUUGUAUUAGUCAGCCUUGAUUGCAUCAGAUUCUUCGCCCGUGAAAAUUAUACAAAGGAAUGCAACAUUUUGCUUUUGCUUUAGAGGGUGGAUUCUCCUGUUCAUUUCUUUCAUUCAUGGGACUUAACUAUAUGCGUGAUUAAAAUCACAGGCCUUUAGAUCGCUUAGAAAAAAAAAUUGAGGUGUUGAAAAAAAAUAAAGGUAUGGAACUCUUUUCAUGGGGUACCUACUUUCGCCAAUAAAAUUCUUUUAAAUCAAA